CCUACGGGCGGCAGCAGUGGGGAAUAUUGGGCAAUGGGCGAAAGCCUGACCCAGCAACGCCGCGUGAAGGAAGAAGGCUUUCGGGUUGUAAACUUCUUUUGACAGGGAAGAGCAGAAGACGGUACCUGUCGAAUAAGCCACGGCUAACUACGUGCCAGCAGCCGCGGUAAUACGUAGGUGGCAAACGUUGUUCGGAUUUACUGGGUGUAAAGGGCGUGUAGCCGGGCUGGCAAGUCAGAUGUGAAAUCCCGGGGCUCAAACCCCGCACUGCAUUUGAAACUGUUUGUCUUGAGUAUCGGAGAGGCAGGCGGAAACUCUAGGGUAGCGGUGAAAGGCGUAGGUAUUAGGGGGAACACCAGUGGCGAAGGCGGCCUGCUGGACGACAACUGACGGUGAGGCGCGAAAGCGUGGGGAGCAAACAGGAUUAGAUACCCUUGUAGUC
Molecule: ribosomal RNA, 442 nt
Filed under: uncultured bacterium
Lineage: Bacteria
Description: partial 16S ribosomal RNA
Rfam family: Bacterial small subunit ribosomal RNA
Source: RNAcentral